This 82-nucleotide transfer RNA is filed under the name Candidatus Rifleibacteriota bacterium. RNAcentral's name for it is "tRNA-Leu". The record is from RNAcentral. Lineage: Bacteria; Candidatus Rifleibacteriota.
GCCGGGAUGGUGGAACUGGUAGACACGCACGGUUGAGGGGCGUGUGGCUUGCGCCAUACUGUUUCAAGUCCCGUUCCCGGCA